GACAGAGGGUGCAAACGUUGUUCGGAAUCACUGGGCGUAAAGCGCACGUAGGCGGGUUCUUAAGUCAGGGGUGAAAUCCUGGAGCUCAACUCCAGAACUGCCUUUGAUACUGGGAAUCUCGAGUCCGGGAGAGGUGAGUGGAACUGCGAGUGUAGAGGUGAAAUUCGUAGAUAUUCGCAAGAACACCAGUGGCGAAGGCGGCUCACUGGCCCGGUACUGACGCUGAGGUGCGAAAGCGUGGGGAGCAAACAGG
RNAcentral lists this ribosomal RNA (253 nucleotides) under uncultured bacterium. RNAcentral's name for it is "partial 16S ribosomal RNA". It matches the Rfam family "Bacterial small subunit ribosomal RNA", at positions 524 to 776 of the family's 1533-position model. The record is from RNAcentral.